CCCUCAGUUCAUUAGGCUUCAGAUGGAGGUUAUGAAGAACUUCACUAGGACUGGGGAAAGCCCUCAGUUCAUUAGGCUUCAGAUGGAGGUUAUGAAGAACUUCACUAGGACUGGGGAAAGCAUGCAGUUCAUUAGGCUUCAGGUGGAGGUUAUGAAGAACUUCACUAGGACUGGGGAAAGCCCUCAGUUCAUUAGGCUUCAGAUGGAGGUUAUGAAGAACUUCACUAGGACUGGGGAAAGCCCUCAGUUCAUUAGGCUUCAGAUGGAGGUUAUGAAGAACUUCACUAGGACUGGGGAAAGCCCUCAGUUCAUUAGGCUUCAGAUGGAGGUUAUGAAGAACUUCACUAGGACUGGGGAAAGCCCUCAGUUCAUUAGGCUUCAGAUGGAGGUUAUGAAGAACUUCACUAGGACUGGGGAAAGCCCUCAGUUCAUUAGGCUUCAGGUGGAGGUUAUGAAGAACUUCACUAGGACUGGGGAAAGCAUGCAGUUCAUUAGGCUUCAGGUGGAGGUUAUGAAGAACUUCACUAGGACUGGGGAAAGCCCUCAGUUCAUUAGGCUUCAGAUGGAGGUUAUGAAGAACUUCACUAGG
This is a long non-coding RNA of Oncorhynchus keta (chum salmon), 589 nucleotides long. RefSeq lists it as uncharacterized. The transcript has 4 exons. The record is from RefSeq and is a predicted model, not a curated record. Lineage: Eukaryota; Metazoa; Chordata; Actinopteri; Salmoniformes; Salmonidae.